Molecule: long non-coding RNA, 208 nt
Filed under: Ananas comosus (pineapple)
Lineage: Eukaryota; Viridiplantae; Streptophyta; Magnoliopsida; Poales; Bromeliaceae
Description: long non-coding RNA (ACOM_LNC001525)
Source: RNAcentral
AUAUUUCAAGGGUUUCCAUAAUCAUGUGAGUGAAAGUCUAAAAAACUAAUUAUGCACCUACUUUUGUAUUUUUCUAACUAAAUUAGCUUUAAUUAAUGUGCUUAUUAGUAGUUAACAUGCCAUAUUAUUAUUAUAUAAAGUUAAAGGACACCCUAAUCAACUUCCUUAACCUAAUUGAUUAUCUAUGCCUCCUUAUAUUUUAUUUUUC